This 429-nucleotide ribosomal RNA is filed under the name bacterium. RNAcentral's name for it is "partial 16S ribosomal RNA". It matches the Rfam family "Bacterial small subunit ribosomal RNA", at positions 355 to 776 of the family's 1533-position model. The record is from RNAcentral.
UAGGGAAUCUUCCACAAUGGACGCAAGUCUGAUGGAGCAACGCCGCGUGAGUGAAGAAGGUUUUCGGAUCGUAAAGCUCUGUUGUUGGUGAAGAAGGAUAGAGGUAGUAACUGGCCUUUAUUUGACGGUAAUCAACCAGAAAGUCACGGCUAACUACGUGCCAGCAGCCGCGGUAAUACGUAGGUGGCAAGCGUUGUCCGGAUUUAUUGGGCGUAAAGCGAGCGCAGGCGGAAGAAUAAGUCUGAUGUGAAAGCCCUCGGCUUAACCGAGGAACUGCGUCGGAAACUGUUUUUCUUGAGUGCAGAAGAGGAGAGUGGAAUUCCAUGUGUAGCGGUGGAAUGCGUAGAUAUAUGGAAGAACACCAGUGGCGAAGGCGACUCUCUGGUCUGCAACUGACGCUGAGGCUCGAAAGCAUGGGUAGCGAACAGG